This 460-nucleotide ribosomal RNA is filed under the name uncultured bacterium. RNAcentral's name for it is "partial 16S ribosomal RNA". It matches the Rfam family "Bacterial small subunit ribosomal RNA", at positions 338 to 795 of the family's 1533-position model. The record is from RNAcentral.
CCUACGGGAGGCAGCAGUGAGGAAUAUUGGUCAAUGGACGCAAGUCUGAACCAGCCAAGUAGCGUGCAGGAUGACGGCCCUCCGGGUUGUAAACUGCUUUUAGUUGGGAAUAAAACGAGGCACGUGUGCCUUUUUGCAUGUACUUUAUGAAUAAGGAUCGGCUAACUCCGUGCCAGCAGCCGCGGUAAUACGGAGGAUCCGAGCGUUAUCCGGAUUUAUUGGGUUUAAAGGGAGCGUAGAUGGGUUGUUAAGUCAGUUGUGAAAGUUUGCGGCUCAACCGUAAAAUUGCAAUUGAUACUGGCAGUCUUGAGUACAGUUGAGGUAGGCGGAAUUCGUGGUGUAGCGGUGAAAUGCUUAGAUAUCACGAAGAACCCCGAUUGCGAAGGCAGCUUACUAAACUGUGACUGACAUUGAUGCUCGAAAGUGUGGGUAUCAAACAGGAUUAGAUACCCCUGUAGUC